Molecule: transfer RNA, 68 nt
Filed under: Gonopsimorpha nigrosignata
Lineage: Eukaryota; Metazoa; Arthropoda; Insecta; Hemiptera; Pentatomidae
Description: tRNA-Ser
Source: RNAcentral
AGUUAAUAAGUUUUAAAUAAACAUUUAUUUUGAAAAUAAUAUAAGAAAGUUAAAUCUUUCAUUAACUU